ACCAGGUGAGAGAGAGUGCUGUACCUGUACCAGGUGAGAGAGAGUGCUGUACCUGUACCAGGUGAGAGAGAGUAGUGUACCUGUACCAGGUGCGAGAGAGACUGUGUACCUACACCAGGUGAGACAGAGAGUGUACCUACACCAGGUGAGAGAGAGAGUACUGUACCUGUGCCAGCUGAAUGAGAGUACUGUACCUGUGCCAGGUGAGAGAGAGAGAGAGUGUACCUAUACCAGUUGAAAUACGAAGACAGUGUACCUAUGGAAAAUUAGAGAGGGAAAGAGAGAGUACCUGUACCAGAUGAGAGAACAUGUACCAGGUGAGAGAGAGAGUACCUGUACCAGGUGAGGGGGUAAUAUAAU
Long non-coding RNA from Anguilla rostrata (American eel), 360 nucleotides. RefSeq lists it as uncharacterized. NCBI's taxonomy places the organism in Eukaryota, Metazoa, Chordata, Actinopteri, Anguilliformes, Anguillidae. The transcript has 2 exons. The record is from RefSeq and is a predicted model, not a curated record.